AACUCCAUUGCAUGAGCUGGCAGCAAAGAAGGUCCCUUCUUCUACGCUUUCUCCUACAAUCCAGGGUCAAAGUGUGCUGAGUUACAGCCCAACCUGCUCCCCCAGGGCCAGUCCAAAGUUUGCAUCUGGUUGUAUCGCGGGGUACAGCCCUCAGCUGCAGGCUCUGUCAAGCAACAGCGCUUCUUACAGCAGUGCUUUAACCUAUUCACCAAGCAGCAGCUACAGUAAGCUUUCCGGCUUCAGCCCUUCUCCUACUGGUUCACCAUAUCCCGCAAGCGUUGGACCA
Molecule: long non-coding RNA, 286 nt
Organism: Dromaius novaehollandiae (emu)
Lineage: Eukaryota; Metazoa; Chordata; Aves; Casuariiformes; Dromaiidae
Exons: 2
Source: RefSeq, a predicted model, not a curated record